This is a long non-coding RNA of Bos taurus (domestic cattle), 422 nucleotides long. The record is from Ensembl. Lineage: Eukaryota; Metazoa; Chordata; Mammalia; Artiodactyla; Bovidae.
CUGCUAGUCAGGGGAGUGGAAAAGAAGCACCUAGCAGGGAAUUAAGAGAAAAUGUCUUCGGUGCCGUGUCGUCAAUGGCCAACACUUGACUGAUUACUCCCAUUCUGACUCCAGUUGAAGGGAAGUGGCAGCUCUGGCAGCCUUUCAUAAUAACAGUCUCACAAGGAAAGGAAAGCCGAUUCCAAGAACCAGUGCCAUUUGCAUUUUGCUGUCACGUGUGAGUGUGGUUCAAAGACUUAAAUCAGGUGGCUUUCAAAACAUUUUGCUCGCUUCUGUUUUUCUGACAAGGACAAUCACUGAAAUAUGCUGCAUUUACAGGGUGCCUUUCAUCAAGUGCCAGCUCUGCGGUUUCCCUCACAGCUCUCCGUCCAAGUUGCUUUGGUCUCUUCGUCCUCAAGACAGGGUUUUCCUGCACCUGGGCC